GACGAACGCUGGCGGCGUGCCUAAUACAUGCAAGUAGAACGCUUAAGAGAGGAGCUUGCUCUUCUUGGAUGAGUUGCGAACGGGUGAGUAACGCGUAGGUAACCUGCCUUGUAGCGGGGGAUAACUAUUGGAAACGAUAGCUAAUACCGCAUAAAAUUGAUUAUUGCAUGAUAAUUAAUUGAAAGAUGCAACUGCAUCACUACCAGAUGGACCUGCGUUGUAUUAGCUAGUUGGUGAGGUAACGGCUCACCAAGGCGACGGUACAUGGCCGACCUGAGAGGGUGAACGGGGAAACUGGGAAUGGGACAAGGCCCAGACUCCUAAGGGAGGCAGCAGGAGGGAAUCAUCGGCAAUGGGGGGAACGCUGACAGAGCAAAGCCGCGGGAGGGAAGAAAGGUUUCGGAACGUAAAGGUAUGUUGUAAGAGAAGAACGGGCGGGAGAGUGGAAAGUUCACACUGUGACGGUAUCUUACCAGAAAGGGACGGCUAACUACGUG
RNAcentral lists this ribosomal RNA (497 nucleotides) under uncultured bacterium. Its description in RNAcentral is "partial 16S ribosomal RNA". It matches the Rfam family "Bacterial small subunit ribosomal RNA", at positions 28 to 507 of the family's 1533-position model. The record is from RNAcentral.